GGGAAGUUGGCUCAGUGGUAGAGUGCUUGCCUUGCAAGCAUGAGGCCCUGGGUUUGAUUCCUCA
Molecule: transfer RNA, 64 nt
Filed under: Dipodomys ordii (Ord's kangaroo rat)
Lineage: Eukaryota; Metazoa; Chordata; Mammalia; Rodentia; Heteromyidae
Rfam family: tRNA
About the family: Transfer RNA (tRNA) molecules are approximately 80 nucleotides in length.
Source: Rfam by way of RNAcentral